Molecule: long non-coding RNA, 527 nt
Filed under: Piliocolobus tephrosceles (Ugandan red Colobus)
Lineage: Eukaryota; Metazoa; Chordata; Mammalia; Primates; Cercopithecidae
Description: lncRNA (ENSPTEG00000030806.1)
Source: RNAcentral
CAUGGAUGCUAUUCUGUGUUCCUCCCUCUUUCCUUCCAAAGGCCACGACAGGAAGAGAAGCUGCCAACACCAGAUGACCAACUCCUUUCCAGUUACAGACCACCCCAGUGAUGAGACCUCCAUAUGUUGUCUGAUGGCCGCAGUUCCUCAGCAAAUGGAGAAGCAUGGCCUGUCAGCCCAGCAUCAGAUGGUUCCAUGCCGACCUCCUCCAUGGCUGGGGGUUGGAGUGCCCCAGCUGCUGCCUCCCUCGUAGCUUUCAUUAAAGGACUUUGCUUUUUUGGUAAAUAAGAGCCCCAUUUUUCUACCUUAGUCUUUGAAAAUCAACCUGAGAAACACUUUGUGUAAGUACCACAGAUGUAUUUUCAGUUUUCUACCCACAUUUAGUUUCUGGGUUUUUUUUGUUGUUGUUUUUUGUUGUUGUUUGUUUGUUUUUUGAGAUAGCGUUGCCCAGCCUGGAGUGCAGUGGCAUGAUCUUGGCUCACUGCAGCCUCCACUUCCCAGGUUCAAGUGUUUCUCCUGCCUUAGCC